CUUUUUCAAAAUGUGGCGGUGGCAGGGAAGGUUGUCUGCUCCAGAGGCUUCCCUAGAGUGAAGAGCUCUACUAUGUAUGCUUUAUGCGGCAGAAGGAGUGCUUUGGAGGAGUUUUUAAAUUUGUUUUUUUUUUAAAUCUUAUCGGUUUUAAUUGUAGCAAUGAUUCAAGAAACGUUAGUAGGUGCCCAUAACUUCGGUGGUGGAGAUCCAAAAGUGAACAAGACAGUGUUCUGGCUGCUAAAUUCUUCUUAACUGGUUAUGCCUGGAGACCUUCACUUGGUUCUGUGCCAGCACUGCCCAUGAACUUCAUAGACUGUGAUCUUUGCUAAGGCCUAAAUGAAUGAAGGUGCAGGACCGGAAGCAGAAGACAGAAAGUGGAGACCAGAUGUUUGAAGCUGGGUAAAGGCAGGGAUGGAGCAGGAACCGAGGAACAAACCUUGGAACUAGUUGCACUUGCCCAAAGGAAGUUCUCGUUUGAUUGACUCUGUCUGCUGCUCCAUAGCGACUUUCCAGCUCUCAGGCCUGAUCCAAGGAGCCACAGAGCAUGCCCAUCAAGAGCUAUGUGGGACCAUGGGGGCGGGCCUGGGUUUUAUGUGAAGUAAUGGCUUUUCAAGCCUGGCAUGACAGUUCGCAGUCCAGCAUGGCAACCAGCAGCCCAGCAUGAAGGAGGCAGACAGUUGAACAGAUUAUUUUUAUGGCUUACUUAAAGAAAUAGUUUUGAUGUCAAAUCCAUUUUGGUUUCAAAUGGGAAAAUCAGAGUUAACCUCUCUAUACUAUUCAGAAAAAAUCAGCUGAAAAGUGCAGAAACCAAAUUGGUUUACCAACUGGUGGUCAUCAUGCCGAGAGCAUUAUAACCAAUGCUCUCCUCUUUGCAGUCCCUUCACCCCAGUUGACUAAUUGUUUAGAUCCAAUUAACUUUCAUUUGUUGUAUGUUGCAUAAACUGGACUUUACAACUAGGUAUAAGAAGAACAAGGAGGGAAGAAGAGUAUCUUCUUUGUAUUAAAUUAUGUCUCGUUUUUCACAAGAUAGUUCAUAUCUCCCUUUAAAUGUCAUAUAUGAUAUAUGCCUCUUUAAAUGUUGUGAUUGCUUGAAAU
RNAcentral lists this long non-coding RNA (1095 nucleotides) under Homo sapiens (human). Its description in RNAcentral is "non-protein coding lnc-MID1-1:12". Lineage: Eukaryota; Metazoa; Chordata; Mammalia; Primates; Hominidae. The record is from RNAcentral.